This 622-nucleotide ribosomal RNA is filed under the name uncultured bacterium. Its description in RNAcentral is "bacterial SSU rRNA". It matches the Rfam family "Bacterial small subunit ribosomal RNA", at positions 338 to 951 of the family's 1533-position model. The record is from RNAcentral.
CCUACGGGAGGGCAGCAGUGGGGAAGUUUUGGACAAUGGGCGCAAGCCUGAUCCAGCAAUGCCGCGUGAGUGAAGAAGGCCUUCGGGUUGUAAAGCUCUUUUGUCAGGGAAGAAACGGUCUACUCUAAUACAGUGGGCUAAUGACGGUACCUGAAGAAUAAGCACCGGCUAACUACGUGCCAGCAGCCGCGGUAAUACGUAGGGUGCAAGCGUUAAUCGGAAUUACUGGGCGUAAAGCGUGCGCAGGCGGUUAUAUAAGUCAGAUGUGAAAUCCCCGGGCUCAACCUGGGAACUGCAUUUGAGACUGUAUGGCUAGAGUGUGUCAGAGGGGGGUAGAAUUCCACGUGUAGCAGUGAAAUGCGUAGAUAUGUGGAGGAAUACCGAUGGCGAAGGCAGCCCCCUGGGAUAACACUGACGCUCAUGCACGAAAGCGUGGGGAGCAAACAGGAUUAGAUACCCUGGUAGUCCACGCCCUAAACGAUGUCUACUAGUUGUCGGGACUUAAUUGUCUUGGUAACGCAGCUAACGCGUGAAGUAGACCGCCUGGGGAGUACGGUCGCAAGNUUAAAACGUCAAAGGAUUGACCGGNUGAGACNGACGACGACGACGACGAGGGAGGAGG